This is a long non-coding RNA of Perognathus longimembris pacificus (Pacific pocket mouse), 1411 nucleotides long. RefSeq lists it as uncharacterized. Lineage: Eukaryota; Metazoa; Chordata; Mammalia; Rodentia; Heteromyidae. The record is from RefSeq and is a predicted model, not a curated record. The transcript is spliced from 2 exons.
UUUUCCCUUUUCCAUUUAUUUGUCCUCACACAACUGGUUUGUUUUCAGGGCUGUCUUAACUCUGUAAAGUUGCAGUAUUUUUCAUCACAUUUUUAAGCUCAAUGCUCAUAGUAGAAUACCUUUAUUAUUGAAAAGGACAAUAAAACCUACUUUCAUCUUGGUGGUUAGAGGAUAGAUUAUAAUCACUAGCCCACUUAUCACACCGUUGUAAUCCCCGUGGAUUAAAAUCUGAUGGCAAAAGAAAGUAAAUGCUGCAAGCUCUUCCUUCACUUUCCAGAAAGUUCUGCCUGUCACACUGACUAGUUUUUCACUGUUUCCAGAAUUCUACUUUUAGUCAUGGUAAUAUUUAAAUUAAGAGUCGGUCAGCACGUUUUCCUUCAGAAAACCAUAUGUUUCUAGGAACAGUACUAAGAUUCAUAGCACCCAGAAGUUUGGGGGUAUUUGUUCUACAACAGGUUAUUGACAUUCUUAGUACGUUAUUCUUUGAAGUAUGUAGAAAGAGGAAAAGACUUCUGGAGAAACCUGCUAUUUAAACAUCUAGCCGAAGUCCAGUCCUCAGUACCACAAGAAAAGAAAAAGAUCCCUGAGGUUAUAAGGUUGAAACUGUACUGUUUUCCUCUUUCCAGGAUGUUUUAUUCAGUCUGUCUCUGGUGAAGGACUUAGGAUCAUUUCUCUAACUAUAACAGACCAAGACUUUUAUGAAAUAGAACAAAAAUGAACUAUUAGUAUAAAGAUCAACAAUUUAGGAGCCCAAACUUUUUUACUAUUAGAUUCAACAGGCAUAAAGAUUACUCUGCCAAAUUGCCAUGGAAACUUCCGACUGCUUCUCUCCUUUUCUCUGUUGUCCUGGUGUGCAUUGCUACCUGCUGGUCUGCAGCCCGCACUGCAGGGUGCACUCCUAAAUGUGGCGCUUGACGAUGCUUCUGGAUUCCUGGUAAUGGGGGGUUAGUAGGUCCACCUCUGUGCCAUUGCAUUCUGACUCCUCUUAUUUGGGCUGUGAAGUCGACUGCUGACAUUGUGAUCUUGAGAAACUUUCUGACCCAUGAUUCCAACUUGGGAUUAUAACCUUCCUUGUUGAGUUAUUGGGAAGACUAGCUUAAAUAAUGUGCAAGAAGUGACUCACCACGUAUGUUUCCUAAUGGCUUUUCAUAGGUAAGUUUAGCUUUAAAAAGGUUGGCUCUGCAUCAUGAAUCUUACAAAGAAUCUCUGUUUUAGAAUUGACUUCCUUUGAUUUAAAACAUUGCAACUGAAUUUUCUUCCAGCAGGCUAUUUCAAUUUUACAUUAUGGAAAUACAAUUUUAGAAAAAUUAUGUCAGCAUUUUUGCUGCUAAAUAAUUUGAAUUUAUGUUUCUAAUAUACUUCUAAGUCAUCACUUUAUGGCAGUAUUAACAAUAAAUGGUGAAAUUCUGAA